Molecule: long non-coding RNA, 16086 nt
Filed under: Lactuca sativa (garden lettuce)
Lineage: Eukaryota; Viridiplantae; Streptophyta; Magnoliopsida; Asterales; Asteraceae
Description: long non-coding RNA (LSAT_LNC006490)
Source: RNAcentral
CCUUCGAUUUACCUGUUACCUGAGAAUACAAGUAUUUUGAAAAACGUCAACAUAUGAAAUGUUGGUGAGUUCAUAAGUAAUGUUUGAAAUAUAAUGUUUUGUAUUGUUUUGAAAACCACCAGAAAAUCCGAUAUUUUCUGAAAAGAGUAUCGUGUAAAAAGUGUGAAGAUCCGUAAGUAUGCUUGUUUGUUUCUAUAAAUGUAAAAAAAAUUGUUAGACUUGGUAUGCAUCUUGUAGGUGUAUGAAUUGAAAACCCUAGGAAAACCCGAUGUUUUCCUAAUACUUUGAAUUACGCGUUUUAUAUUUUGUUAUACCGUUGUGACGUGUGUAUUCGAUAAUUCCAGGUGACAUUGGAUUAAUUAUGGAUUGUGAAUUGUUAUAAACACGCAUUAAUGAAAACGACUAGUUUACAACUAUACAAACGAUCCCUUAGGCGUCGUCCGUACUAUUCACUUAAUCCAACCACCCUAACUUCUCAUAGCCCCACAACCGAGGAGAAAAGAGGGUGCGAAGCCCCCGCUAUUUCCAUAAGUCGUUCAAGGCUAUCGUGAAUGCGAAAGGCCCUUGGCCCGACUCGCAUUGGUGAAUUCUCGACUUUGCUAGCAGUACCAAAAGACCCUUGGGGCCCAACAGCACAAAAGCCAUUGAAAGUCCUUUUACAUGGAAUUAGGUCAUAUAAGACCCAACAACAUGUAAGCGAGUUUCCUUCGGGCCUAAAGAUCAUGUCAUUGGGCUAGCUAGGCCCAACAAGCACGAUUUGAAACUUUCGGGCCCAAAGAUGGUGUAUCGACGUCUGGUGAAUUCCCGCGUGUGUAUUGACUUCCCGUAAUUUCAGCGUGUGUAUUGUAGUAUCGUCGUGUAUAGAUUUUUGAUUCAUUAUUGAUUCGAGACCGAAUCAAUUCGUUUGGUAACGAUUUUUGGUGUUGAAGGUGUAUUAUGUUUCGUCAGUAGUCGUGGUACUAGUAUUUCAUCAUAACGGAUUUAUUGUUUAAAACAUUAGAAUUUUACUUUUUGCAGCCCCUUUCUUUUGGAUAAAUUUACACUUUUGACCCUUUGUAUAAAAGAAUUUCCAUUUUAGUCCUUAAACCAUUUUUCUUGACACUUUAGUAUCAAAACUUGUUGAAAAGGUAUUUUUCAGCUCAAAUUUAUUUGAAAAACAGUUUUAGUCCCUCAGAAUGAAGUUUUCUCGGCUGAAACCUCUAUUUUCGCAAUUUUUACACUUUUGGCCCAAAAUAGAAAUUUUUUGCAUCUUUGGUCCCUUUUAAAUAUGAAAAGUAUUUUUAACCCCUGAAAUGGACUUGGAGCACUAGUAGUCCCCUGUUUUACAGAAAAGUACAGUUUCAGCCCCUCUAAUUUGAAAAUCUCGCAAUUUGGGCUUUAUUGGGCCGAAAAGUUCAUUUUUGGCCCAUUAUGCUUAAAAAUUCACAUUUUAAUCCUUCAAAAGAGUAAAUUUCCAGAAAAUACAUUUUUGAAACUGUUUUGACUCAUCUCAUCCCUCAGAAUUUGUAUUUUGACAUUUUGGGCCCUUUAGUUUCAUAUUUUUAGCAUUUUGAGUCCAAAAAUGGGUUUUAAGCCCAAAGAUGUUCAUAUUAACCAACUUGGUUAUUUUUCUAGAAAUGAUUUGUGUGAAAUAACAUAAUUUAUACUUAUUUCAUACAACUUAAUGUAGAUCUCGGUUUUAAGGUCUUUUUGACUAGAUCCAACACCACAAUCACAUAAGAACAUAUAUACAAGCAUAGAAAUCACACAAAGCAUACAUAUACUCAUAGAUCUACACAUUUGCUUGUAUCCCCCCCCCCCACAAAACUUAUAAAAACCAAAAAAUAGGGGGUAUGAAGCUCACCUUGUGGUUUGGAUUUGGUUUUGAUGAAGAUUUGAGAGGAUAUUUCGGCCCUAGCAACUUCUUGAGGAAGUUUUCGAACUUAGAUGGUUCUAGGGAGUUAGACCAUAAAUUUGCAUGAGUUAAGAUGAGAUGUUUGAUAAAACAAGGAACCUAGAUCAUAGAUUUAAGUAUAAACUUACCUUGGAUGAUGAUUUUUGUGGAAAAAUCUCUUUGAAAAGCUCUUAAGUCUCGAAAAUUUGAUGAAGGAAGGUGAGGAUGUUCUUUGAGAGAGUUGGUUUAAAAAAAUUGGAUGAAGUGUGUAUGUUUGGGAGGCUCUCGGCCAAAUGAAAAGAGAGAGGGGGAAGAGAUGAGCUUGCCUUGAUACAUGAAACUAUGCAUGGAUACAUGGGAGAUAAUACUUAGAGAUAUGUUGGAUAUUAAUGAGGUGUCAACUUAAAAGUCAACUCUCUUAAUUUCAUUCUCUCUUUCCUUUUUCUUUUUUGUUUAUCCCACUUGGGCCGAGAAUUAGAGAAAGAGAAGUGAGUUUUGGGCCUUAAAGGCUUAAUCCUAAUUACUUGAUUAUGUUGAGUGAUUUUUGGUCCUAACAAAUAUAAGUGUGAUUUUUAUGACCUAUUAGGGCUAAAUUAGGCUAGUUAUGGCCUAAAAUGGUUCAUAUAAUUGAUUUAUUUCAUUCUAGGCCCAAUAUGGCCCAAAAUGUUGAGAUAAAUGGAAGUGGGUCCAACUAGAGCCCAUUUAAAGGUUCUAAGCCCAAGAUGGUCAAAUUGGAAGCUUAUUGGUCCAUUGGGCCCAAUAAGGAAGUCCUAGUCCAAAAUGGACCUAAACAAGAACUUCUAAGGUUUCCCAUUUGCUUGUUGACCAUUUGUAAAUGCUUGUAUGGUGUAUUUGAUUGAAAUUUUUGUUGUCAUAGAACAAGCAUCAUUCAUGCUCUUAUGUUUUUUAUUCAAAAUUUUACUUAUGUGUUGUAGUUACAAGGCACAAAAUUUCUAGUUGUGACAGUUUUACAAAAACUUCCCAAUCUUAGUUACUUUCGGCAAAAGUGAAUUGAUGCAAUUCCAUGAAAUUACACUUUUUACCCUUGCUAAGACGUUAGUGGAGCGUGUGUGGUUAACCGGCACACUAAAUGGGUUCUAUGCAAAGGUAGCAAAGCGUGACUCGAUGUUUGUCAUAGUUCGGUGGAGCAUGUGUGGUUAAACGGCACAUGGAAUAGAUGACUGUAACAUUGGGGGCACCAUGUAAGUUUGCAUGGUUAUUCACACCCUGUUUUGUGAUCCUCAGCAUCCCAGUCACAAAUGGAGGGGCAUAUCGAGAUUUACACAUGACGUUGAAAGGUUCAAUGAAUCUCAAAGGAUCUAGGAGUUUUCAAUACAUUUAAAACUUAAUCUCUUUUUUGUUUUUCAUGGUGGAAAAUUAGUGAAUCGUCAUUCACUUACCUUCAAAUGUUCUGCAAUUUGGGUUACGGCAUCCAUCUGCCAAGUUGUAUAGUAUUGUGUUGGGUCUUAGCCUUAAUAUCUCAUUUGGGUGUUUUAUUAAGGACUCAAUCAAUCAACUAACUUGAAUUUUUCUCCCGUUUUGUAGAUGUCAAAGUAUGACAACUAUGAUCUUCCCAAAUCCCGUGGAACAAGCUUUCCACAUGAAGAUGAUAUUCCACGAUUCGAUCGAGGAACACGAGAUCACGCUUCACCUCCUCCACCUCCUCCUAUUGUUCUCCCUAACCCACAAGUUCAAAGGCUUGAAAAGUUCAAGCUCACUCAAGCCCUUUUGGAAAGUAAACAUGAAGAAGGAAAGUCAGUGUGUGCAUACGUUUGAAAGAUGAAGUCACACAUUGAUAGGUUAAGAAUGUUGGGAGUCGUUGUCUGUGAGGAACUGGCUGUUGACUGGGUUCUUCAGUCGUUUCCUGACUUAUAUAGUGAGUUCGUAAGAGAGUACUAUAUGAUAGACCACGACGUGACCCUCAUCGAUCUCACCUAUUUACUUAUUGUUGUUGAAUAAGCGAUGAUUUGGUGCACUGGAAAAGCAAAGUUGCUUGGUGGAUCUGCCUUCCAGACCUCUAUGGAUAUAGGCAAUGGCAACGAAAGGCAUGCCAUGGUCGAAAAGUUUGAUCAUAAGAGAAAGGUAAAGUCUGAAGUAGUUCCGUGUGUUGUUCCAAAAUAGUCAAUUUGCUUUUAUUGCCAAGAGAAGGGGCAUUGGAGACAAAGCUGCCCAGUCUACCUGAAAGUUCUAAGAGAUGGGAGUGUCAAGAUGUUUGGCUCUACUUCAGGUAAAAUCCACUAUCUAACUCCAUUAAGUUCCUAUUCAUUGAUUCUUAAUACAUAAUGUGAUAAGAUUACAUUUGAAUGUUUUGCAGGAUCAGAGAAAAGAGAGGAAGCUUGAUGGAAGAGCAAGAUGAGUCUGAUCACGAAGAAAUGGAUCACGAUCGCAUGGAUUCGAAGAUCAGAUUUUGAGCUUAGAAAGUUAUGAUAGAUUUGUUAAGAAUAUUUGAUUACAUAGUUUUUCAGUUGAUUUUGCAUUGUAAGGACAUGUUUUCCGCUGCUUUUAUUAAUAAAAUAAAUUUUUUGAUUUGUCUUAUUUAUAUAUAUCCUUGCAAUGAAAUCGUUAUGAAAAUUAACGUUUGUGUAUUUCUAUAAGUGGGUGUGAUUCUUAGUUAUGUUAUUUGUGGUAGUGUCAAAAUUUUCUACGUACGGAAAGAUUCCGAUCACCCAAGUUUCAAUUGGACAGAAACUUGGAAUCAUACAACUUGUAUUGUGUGAUGUAUGGAAAUCUUGGUACUUAGGAAAUUAAGACUAAUUCCUUGAUCACACAAAUAACAAUGUUGUGUAAAGGACUAGAAUACAAUGUUGUGCACUAGUCAAGUCCACCACAAAUAACAAUAAGACUAUUCAUCAUAAUUUACUAAAAGUCUAGUAAAUGUGGUUAUACUUACAAGAUUAAGUGUAAUUCUGAAUCAUUGAAAGGUUUCAAUGAAUGACAGAACGAAUAAGAAGAAUCAAUUAGGCAGAAAGAUAAAAGUUUCUCCAAUCUAAGAAGAAGGGAGAGUACUUUUGUAUCGGGUUCUAUGAUCAUCUUAAUGAUUAAGAACCAUAUCACAAUUGAUCCUCUAAGGACAUCUUAGUGCACUAGUAUGGCUAAGAAGAGGAAUCGGAAAUUGUUGAAAUGGUUAAAUCAAAAGGAUGAGUCAUACUUCGUUCCAAAAUCAAGUCUUAGAAUCGUACUCCAAGAUUGUGAAUUGAGUGACACACACUCAUCAAAUGUGAAGUAGAAAAUUGUUUUUCUUACUCUUGCACGUUUGAAAUUGGUAAUUGUGAUGUCUUGAAUAAGACAAAGACCAACUAAUACCAAUUAUGUGUAGUGUUUGUCUUGAUAACAAUCCGCACUAAUUCUUGAAUAUUUGUUUGUCAAGAACUGUUUUCUUGACAAGAGAAUCUUAUAUGUCAAGAGGUCAGUGGGAGUCUAAAUGAUCUUGAAAAGUUUCAAGAACUAAUCAAGAGUAAACCUAUUAUUAAACACUAGCACACGACUUGAGGAUUGUAACCUAUCGUGUUGACAAAAUUCUGUUUCUGUGUCAAUCCAGUUGAGUGAUUAUGCAUAUGAGUUCUACGAGUUCUCAAUGGACUGCGUAAGGCAAGAACCUUGUUCAAUGAAAGUACAUUGAUUGGCAUGGGUGAGCUACUAGAUAACUUGGAAACAAUGGUGGGACCCUUGAUGGCAAGAAAUUAAGAAUGAACAAGUCCUGUCCAUAAGAGUUUGAAUUUGUCACAAACAUUAUCGUUCGAUUAUGGUUAUGGCAAAUUCACAUGGAUAGGAACACAUACACCAUAAAAUCUAAGUGUCAUAAGGUUUCUCUCCUUCAUGAAAAUGAUUGUGAGGAAACGCUUUCACUAAGAGAGAUUUUAAGGAGAUAGCGAUUAUGUAAAUUGCAUUCUCAAAUUCGAUUAUGAUUACGACAUCCCUCUUCAUAGUUCGAAUUGUGAGAUUUGGCAAUUAGUCUGAACAUUUGGGACUUGGUAAUAUAAGUUCUGAAUUAGUUUAGAAACACAUGUGAGUUAUCUAAGGAAAGGUGUGUGAGUUUCAGAAGCUUAAAUAAAAAGCUUAUCGAAGCACAUCGUAUUGGAAAUAUGAACUUUGGAAGUCAAUAAGAAUUGUCUUUUAAAAGUCCAACUAUUUUUUGAAUACGUGUCAAAGCUAAUGGGAGUAUAAAUGUUAUGCUGGAACAGAUAUAAUCAUCAUGUUAGUGGGAGCAUGAUUAUUAUUUAAGUAUUGCAAGUUGGAAAUAUUAAUUACAGAAAAACAAAAGGUUUCACUUUGCAAAGUUGCAGGGGUUGAAAAGUUAUUUUUGCUAUAAUUAAGGGAGAGAAUGUUAUACUACGUUUCCAAUCUAAAAGCUUAGAUCGAUAAAUUUUAAUUGAAUUUAGUCAAGGAUAUAUUUAUUAUUUGCAUUCUCAAAGUUCGAUUAUGAUUAUGGCAUCCCUCUUCAUAGUUCGAAUUUUGAGAACACGACAAAUAGAAAUAUUAUGGAAAUAUUCGACCGUUCUAAAAUUUUCCAAAUGCCUAGGGCAUUUAGAGAAAAAAAGGGAAUAUAACUGGAUUUGACUAAAAUAAUUAAGCGACUGUUAAGGACAACCUAAGGUUCGCUAAGGAUUGGUCGCUUGAGGACAGUUGGAAGUAUAGUCAUGGAUGGACCAAAUUGACAUUAUUAUGAAUAGAUAAGAUUCUAUUUAGAAUAAGUUGUCAUAUGGAAAAUAUGGAAAUGUUUCCAUAUUAGGAGUUGGAUAUCGAGAAUCAAUGUCUAGAUUAGAAACUUUUAUGCAAGAAGGAUGUUCAUAGGAAUGUAUCUUAAAUGUGAGACUUCAUGACUAUGGAAUUGUCUUGUAACAAUCUCCAAUAGAGUACUUUGUAAUUUCAUUGGCAAAGUCUUGGUGACUUUGGCGCUGUGAUAUUACGAAAUGACCGUUGCAUAAAAUGUUAGAAUCUAACAUAUUCUAGUAGUGGCGAGAAUUUUGUAUUCUUACACUAAUGGAUUAGGAAUUAUGAAAUGAGCAUCAUUGGAAAUGUGUUCAUAUGAUCUAUUUCACAAAGUAAGGACCAUAGGUAAACAUAGUGUGCAUGCUAAGAGCAUGGGACAAUUGUUGUUAUAAUUCAAGUAAGAAGUUGGUUACCCGAAACAACAAAUAAUGAGUAAUCAAUGUGGUGAAUAAACAAAAUGUUUUAUUUAUACUCAAAGGUUUGGGACCAUAUAGGAUUAGUAUUAUUCUUGUGUUUCACUUUGCAUGUUUUGACUUCCCGAAUAAUAAGAUUAUUCAAACCCUCCACAGUCGCUCAUUCUUUGGAAGUAGGAAUGAAAGAAGAAUGUCAUGAAUCUAACUGUAGAUUGUCUAAAGUGUUUUAGACAUAGCAAAAGUUUGUUGCAGGGUUUGUGAGUGCUGCUAUAAGAUUAGAGUAUUGGAUUAAACCCAUGCUCACUUAGAUCGUUUCAUGGAUUUUAUCUCGAGUGAUUGGUGAGAUGAUAAUAUCUUAUAUUAUUGAAACCGAGAUGUGUGAGUUGUAUCUUGCGAGUCGGUUACACAUUGAUAAUAUGUAAACGCACCAGCAACUUGGUGUUAUAAAACGUGUUGUUGUGUGUGAUUCGAUGAGUGAGUACAAGCAAGCAUUGAGUCGAAGUUUAUCCGUUCCUUUUGCCCAAAGUUGGAUAAAAAGCGAUAUCUGUGGGCCCCUCGAUGAUUUGGUAAUGACACCUAAGCGCUUGGCCAAGCCGGGACUAAUUUGAUGUGUUCAAUUGUAGUCUGUUGUUAGUUGUCAUAAAUCGGAAAUCGGGAAACAACACAUGAACAGAGAGUAUAAUUAAAAUCCAUGUCUCAGUUCAUACGAUAUCUAGAAUGGAGGAAUAUAUGAUCCCUUAUCUAAAGGACGCGUAUCUGAUAAGAUCAGAGUUGACAACGGCUUUUGAAAGCUACGAUUGCUAAUUAGAUUUGAAGUUAUACGCAGAAUAGUUAUUAGACUUAUCCAAGUGGGAGACUAUUGGAUUAGUGUCUAAGUCCAUAACUAUUUUGGUAUGUACUUGACCCGAUUGUAAGCAUGGUCUUUUUGGGUUACCUUCACUAAAGCAACUUGAUAGGAUGAUUUGUGGAGAAACAGAUUAAUUAUAAUUUAUUAGUAUAUUAUGUGAAUAAUAUAUUAUAAGAGAAAUCAUAUUGUUUAAUUAAUAUUAGUAAAGAAUUAAUAAAAUUAAUUUUGUGGCUAAAAGACAUUAAUUAAAUAAAGGGGACUAGAACUGUCAAUUGUGUGAUAAUUGGAUAUUGGGCUAAUGGACUCCAUAAAGGAUGGAGUGGACGAAAUAUAUGGGUAAACCCAUGAGAAUUCGUCCAAGGCCUUUAAGAGGGACUCCAUUGGCUGCUUAGAGCCUAAGCAGCCAGAUUAGGGUUUCCUAGUUCAAAAACCCUAAUGGCCUCACUAUAUAAGGACUCCUAGGGCACCCAAAAACAUGGCUAAGUGUUCCUUAGGGUUUCUUGGACGUUUUGGUGCCUCCUUCUCUUCACCUAAGUCAUCCUCUUGCUCUUGGUGUUUGUGAGCCAUUAAAGGUGUGACAUUUGUGACACUAAGCUUUCAAAAGCAAAUUACAAGGAGGAUUUGAGAUUGUUAUUGCUACAUAACAAUCAAGGUAAGAUCUAAACCCUAUUCUUAUGUUAAUAUCGAUUAUCACAUGAUAGAUCUAGGGUUUAAAGUCUUGGAUGAAUGCAUAUACAAUAUAGAAACCUAGAUCUAAGCAUUAGGGUUUACAUGAGCAUAUAGGAUGUUCUUAUGACCAAAACCCAUCAGAAACACGGUGUGUUACCGAGCCCAACACAUCGUGUUGGGUUGCCUGGUGUCACGAUCUGAUGCCAAGGCGUGGGGAGGAAGUUGUGGCUGAGAUGGUGCCACGUGUCACCUCUGGAACUUAACCCCAAAAUUAAUUAUCUUCUAAAUUUCGUAACUUUCGAAUACGAGCUCCGUUUUUUACGUUCUUUAUAUCCACACAUAGGUAGCGAUGUCAUAUACAACUUUUGUUUAGACUCUAUUGGCUAAUUUUGACUAUAUUUUUUAAGUUAUAUUUUAACAGGCGUAGAGAGUUAAUGUCCAUUAAAAAUUCAUAAUUUUGUCAUCCGACGUCCGUUUUUACUGUCUUUAUAUCAUUGAGCUCCUAUUAAUGAAAUCUUCAACUCUCAUUUAGGUUGUGUCGCCUAAAAAUCGAUCGAUCUAAAAUUGAUUUCCGGGCUAUGCACUGCUAGGCUAAAUCUUAGAAAAAUCAUAACUUCCUCAAACGAAGUCAGAUUUGGACGUUCUUUUAUGUACGUUCUCGGUUUAAUGUAUACUAUGAAUUUUGUUUAGGUCGCUAAGGCUAAAAAGUAUUCGUCAAAAAUUCACUUUUUACGUUACGCGGAGUCGUGCUGGUUUUGUCGCAAAACUUCGACGAGUCAUAACUUCUUCGUUUUAAUUCGGAUUUCAAUGUUCUUUAUAUAUACAGAAUCCUUGUGACAUAUACUAUAAUUUUGGUUAAGAUUAUUUAUGCUAAAUAAUCUUCUAUAAAAAAAACUCAUUUUUAACGCUUAUUAUCUCUAAAUUGACUAACCCGAAUCUGUGGGCGUUACAGCUAACAACGAAGAUUCAAGUUACGUAAGUAAAUAAGGGCAACAAUGUACUUUAAAGAUACCACGAUAUGGAUAGAGUCUAGAGACGAUGUGGAAAAGUAAAUUACUCUUUAUUAUUAGUGACAGAUCAAAUAUUAUUGCAUGAGAAUAGUGUCAUAAGAGAUCCUCCACGACGUGGCCGGUAAAAUGCCAUGAUGUGGCGACGAAACGAACUUAGAAAAGUACGAUCUGUAAACAGAUCAAUCCAAUUAAACACUUCCAUAACACACUCUAAGGUGUAGUUUUCACACACUGAAGCUCUAGAGGUUCGAUUUUAAGGAGAUAAAGAGAUUCAAGCUUCAAUUUUGGUGGAUCAAGGUAAAUAUUGCUACUCUUAAUACAUUGAUUUUGGAUUUAGGGCAAGAUUCUGAAGUUAUUGGUGAAACCCUAGAUGAAGGGUAUGAUUUUAUAUCAUGAAAUUGAAUUAGAGGUUGAUGUCAUAUAGCUUAAUUAUAGACUAUUCUAAUGAUUAUGAACCUUGUAUGUGAAAUUCGAAGAUUGAUAUGAGAAACCAAGUUCAUAGGAUUUAGGGUUCAUAUGCGAAAAGUGUGACCGAAGGAAUGUCCUUAAGUGAUAAAAUAUGAUAUAUGUAACACCAUCCGUUAUACCCGCCACUAACCACUAUAGUGGUGGGGGCCACAUCAUCACCACUAACCUUCACUAAACAUAUGAGAUACCUACCACUAAAUACACUACUCCACCUCAUUUUUUUAAUUAAAUUUAAAUAAAAAAUACAUAAAAAUCAUAUAAUUUUUUUAAAUACUAGUUUUUUAUUAGUUUAAAAUACCAAAUUACAUUAAAUAAAACUACAUUAAUUAAAUAAAAAAUAAACAAAACCACAUCAUCACCACUAACCUUCACUAAACAUAUGAGAUACCUACCACUAAAUACACUACUCCACCUCAUUUUUUUAAUUAAAUUUAAAUAAAAAAUACAUAAAAAUCAUAUAAUUUUUUUAAAUACUAGUUUUUUAUUAGUUUAAAAUACCAAAUUACAUUAAAUAAAACUACAUUAAUUAAAUAAAAAAUAAACAAAACAUUAAAAAUAAAAUUACAUUAAUUGAAAUAAAAAAAAUUAAAAAUUAAUAAUAUUAAAAAUUAAAAACCUAAAAAUACCGAACUUAUGAUUUGUGUUUUAAGCAAGGUUAUUCCAUUUUGAAGAAUUCUUCAACUUUUGUCAAGCUUUGACAUAUCCAAAAUGUUUAUUAUUUUUGUUUUCAUAUUGCUCCAUGGCCACAUUAUCCGGAUCGAUAUCGGCUUCGUGUACGUUGUUUAUAACAAAGUUGUAAAUUCCAUUGACCUCACAACAGUUGACCCUCAUAUCGCGCCACUUCGAGCAUAUUUCAUCAACAUUUCGAAUUGCACAACUCAUUAAACCAUGAAAACACUUUCAACAUUUCUCUAAAACAGACGUUUGACCAGCGCCUUCUUCCGAAACCGUCACCCAUGCUUGUGCUAAUUUCUCUUCUUCCUCUUUUGACCAUUUCUUGUUUUUGGGAGGCAUGGUUUUUGAAAGAACAAACAACAAAAAUGUAUGAAUAUGACUAAAGGGAGAAGAAAUGUGUGAAAAUUAAGAAGAUGGGUGGUAAUAUUUAUAGGUGAAUAUUGGAGAGAAAAAAUAAAAGAAAGUAGUUAUUGUAAGAGGUCAAACAAGAUUUAAAGAAGGAAAUGAAUUGAUUGGGCGUUGCAGUUCGUUGUUGGGAGUAUGAAGGUCCACGAUCACGACCCACAACGAGCCACCGGGAUGGUGUGCACGAUCUAGACCACGACGUCGUUCGUGGCCUCCAUACCGGAAGGCCUAAUGUGUAUGGCAGGUAAUAUGAACCUUUUACGAGUAUUAUAUUGAUAUAUGUUUGGAUUCUUGAUAAAUGUUGAGAUGGUGGCAUGAUAAAUAAUAUGUAUGAGUUGAUAGUAAAUAGGAAAUCCAUAGAAAGGGUUGAACAAAAAACUUCCAAGCUUGGGAUAUCACCUACAUAAUCCCUAGACAAGGUGAGUAACAUCUAACUAACUUAUGAGAUUAUUAACACAUGAUACAUUUGCUUAUUAUGAAAUUAUGAAUGUUUAGAUACGAAUUAUGUGGUUUAUGUAUAAUAUAUAAAUGAUGUAUAAUGAGAAAUAGAUUGAGUAUGAGAAACACACAUGAUGAAUCUGUGAAAGAUGAAUGGAUCAAACUAUGUGUGAGAUCAUUUGGAUAGAGCCGACUUGUUGAGAUUUUGAUUAAUGGGUACAAUGGAUCUAUGAGAGAUAAAAUGAUCAUAUUAUAUGGAUGAGCUAUUCCAUGAGAUUAUUAAAAUGAGAAUAUGAGAAAGAUUGUUCCUUUUCUAAGGAAUAAUGAUCAAAAUGGCGAGUUGCUUAUCAUUUUGAUAUAAUUGAAUUAAUAAAAUAUGGUUAACGAGUAUCUCAUAUCUUGUUAGUAUAUGAUCAUAUGUUGAGUUUGUUAUAAUGGGAUUGAUUAUUACUCACUAAGCUUCCAAACUUAUCAACUUGGAUACUUUUAUUGUUACAGAUACAAGUAUGUCGGACAAGGGAAAGGGUGCGAUGUAGAAGCCAUAGUGUCUUUUGGUAAUCAAACUUUUAAGGAUGUAUUUUGAUAAGGCGUAAACCCGGCAUGAUCUAAUACUUUAUUUUGAUGUAUAUGAUAAUAACUUGUAUGAUAGGUUAAUAUAAUAUACACUCUCUAGUUUAGAAAAAAUCGAGUGUACUUUAUUUUAGUUGGGUGUUACAGAACAAGAUAGGUUGGAAGUAGUUAUGAAGACUCUUGAAGGUGAUGCUCUUUUGUGGUAUGAAUAAGAGAAUCAAAGGAGACCUAUAUGUGAUUGGGAUGAAUUAAAAGGGUUGAUACGUCAUGAUUAGAGAUCCUCACAGCAACCGCAAAGGUUUUCCAGGAAGAAAUACAAUUGGAGCUCUAAUGUAGCCUCAUGGAGAUGAUAGCUCCGUUAAACGACAGACAGGAAGAUGCGCUUCUAGAGUUUUGCAAAAAUGGGCUUAAAAAUUAGACAAAACCUGGGCAAUUAAUAGCACUGAGAUCUUGAUAAAAUCUCGGUUGGAUAGCGUUUCGCGGGUAGUGGCCAUAUAGUGGUUUCAAAUAGCGCUCAAAAUAGCGGGGCCACUAAUAUCUCUGAGAUCAGUCAACAUUGGCCGCUAUUUACCGCUAUUUCUACUCCGAGAACUCGGUUUUUGACCGCUAUUUCAUAAAAUCUAUUUUAGCUAUGCCGAUUGCUUUUUCUAUCUCUUUUUUCCUUCUUCUAUUGAUUAAUUUCAUAUAAGUAAACGAUUAACUUAUUUAUAAGAAAUAUUUAAUUGAUUGAUUUUACUUAAUUCAGUGAAUUGAUUGGAUUUAGAUUUUAGAACAGAGGAACUAUGUAUUUCUCUUCUAUUAAUUAAUUAAUGAAAUAUAUAUUACAUAAUAUUUAAAAACCACUAUCCCACCGCUAUCUCACCACGAGAACCGCUAUUUUAACUCAUGGCAACUGACCGUGAUUAGAUUUUGGACCUUGAUAACUGCAUAAGGAAGAACUUAGCACUUUGGGCUCACAUCAACCGGAUAGAAAACAAACUCGUUGAAAGGUAGCAAUUUAAACUCAAGCCAAUUAUAGCCAAGGAUGAAAGAACUUAAGCUCAAAUGGAUUGAUUGAAUCGACGACAUGCAAAUCAAUUCCACAAUCGACAUCCUUAACACCUUUUACCACCUACACAUCAGUCUUGUCGUUGCAAUUCUACUCAAUUAAAUGAUAGCAUAUGUUGACACAAUUUUUUUUUAUGUUCGUCGAAAAUUGAGAGACCUCACAUAAUGGUGGGAAAGUAUAAGCUACAAUACACUUAUUCUUCCUUAAUUCUUGGUACGUAUCUAUAAUCCUACUAGUUUGUUUUUAUUAGCUUUACCCUUUUCUAUGUAUGAUUCCGCUAUAUAAUAACAUAUAUUCACACAAGCUUAUUGUUUUUUUAUGUCAUAUGACUAUAUAUGUUUAUUAAUAUAUGUAAAGAAUUCUAUUAUUUAUCAAUAUAUACAACUAACACAAUUUAUAUAACCUAGCAAAAUUUUGUUGAGUACUUUUUUCAUCACAUCUAGUAAGAGAUAGCCACAAGUAUUUGCAUUUUAAGAUUAUUAGGCCAUGCUUCCCUUUGAUAUUUUAUUUGGAUAAUAUGAAUUGGUGAGGGUUCUCACUUCUCAAUGAUAUUUUCUUUUCACCUCAUCCUUACCUAAAUUAGAUCACAUGGAAGAGAAGGUUCUCAAUGAUAUUAAAGUAACUUGAAACUAUACCCCCCUUUACUGUAAGACCUAUUGACCAUGUUAUAUCUCAAUCAGAAGGGUAUUAUGGGGAAUAGAAAAAUUCGCUCAAACGUUUCAGGUGUCUUUUAAAACCAACAAAAUAUAAAGAUUAAAAUUAGGCCAUCAGACAUAGUUGCAUGGUUAGAGUUAAUGUGUUCGAAAAAUACAAUCUUUGUAUCAAGUAUAAAAUCAAUUAUAGAUGUAUUCAUUUAUAAGAGCUUAAAUUAUGAACUCCAAUCUCCUAAUAAUACACAUUCAUAAUCACAGAUUUGUUCUACUUUUAGUUCAAAUCAUUUUUAGAAAAUGAUCAUUAAAGGAUUUGAUUUCAAUGUCAUAAACAAAACAAAACCUCAUAAGAACAUGUUUCAAUUAGUGCUAUUUGUACAUUUCUCUCAUCCUAAUGAUAUACCACCAUGAGAACACAUCCUCUACGAAUCAUAAAAUACUCUUACAUAUAAUGACAAGUUAUCAAGAAUGAAGGAACAAAAGCCGAUUUUUUUUUUUUGGCAAAACUAGGGUCGAUUUAUAAACCAUUUGCAAAAGUAGGGCAUUUCAAAAUCUCUUUGUAAAAGUAGGGUCAAUUUAGUUGGCCCAUUGCAAAAAUCAAUUUUUUUUUAUAGAAUUUUCAUUUUCAACCUCUACAACUUAACUUUUCAACCCUUUGACUUCUAUGAUACUUUUUAUUUGUAUCUUAUACUUUAAAUAUUUAUGUUUAUUCUAAUGUUAUCUUAAACAUAGAUAAAUUUAUGUGUUAUUUCUACCAUAUUACCGGUACAAAAAAUUCAUUAAUAUAUUUCAAUUGAUAUCAAUAUCAAUUUCUAAGCAUAUAUUAAAGUGGUGUCAAUAUUUCAGUUGAUAUCAAUAUCAAUUUCUAAGCAUAUAUUAAAGUGGUGUCAAUAUAUAACUUUUUCUUCAGUCUUUUUAAAACUGUUCGUUCCAUUUCGUUCAGAUCAUUUUUAUGUAUAUUUUUAAAAACCCUUUUUUAUAUAAUGUUAUAGAAUUUGAAUGAAAAUACUUUUUAUAUAACUUAAUAUUUUUAAUCAUUUGUGUGAAAAAACUUAAUUAGUUAAUUUUUAUUAUGAAAAAUAUGUAAUGAAAAUAUAGCCCUUAGAUAUUAAAUAUAUUAGUUGUUGAGUUACUUAUNNUAUAAAUUAUUGAUAUAGAUAUGUUGUUUGAUGUAAAACAUUAUUUUUUUUAACUUUUAAAUUGUUAAUAUUUUUUGUUUAUCUAAACAUGAAGUUAAAUUCAAAAGCAUACAAUAAAAUUCUCAAUAUAAACAAUAAUAUAUCCAAAGACUAUUUUUAUAUAUGGUUAAAAAUAUAAAUAUAAUGUUAAAUAUACAACUAAAACUGAAAUGCCAAAUUAAAUAAAAUAUGACAAAAACAUAUUUUUUUAUUAUAUCUGAUUACAAAGAGUAUGUUUAUGGGGUGUUUGGCUUAGCUUUUUAGAUGCCAAAAGUCCUUUUAGAAAAAGAUAGAAAACAAAAGAUGUUUGUUAAAUGCAUUUUAAAAGCUAAUUUUAGAUUUGGAUACAAGUAAAAAUGAACUUUUUGAAAAAGUUAGGAAAACCUGAUUUUUUUUAACUUUAACACCCUUAUAUGGUUAAAAAUAUAAAUUCACCCUAGUUUUGUUAAAUAAAAAAAAAGUCACAAAACCCCCCAUGACGAAAAUUUUAUCAUAUCUAAUGCUAAUACAGAACUAUAGGAAGUGAUUAAUGAUUACCUAAGUGAGGGAUUUUCCAUGGGUUUAUGAACAAAUACGAAUGGAUGAGAUUUUUUGUACUUCUUGACAUCAGGUGCUUGUUGUCCACCACCUAUUUCAAGAGAACCAUGAAAUAAGGGAGUCCUAGAGGAACAUGAUUUCUUCCUGAUUCUUCUCCAAACCUUGCAAGAACCCUGCAACAAGGAAAAAGGUAUAAAUAAAUAAACGAAUAACUCUGAAAUUUAAUAAUUGUAUUCAAAAGGUAAUAAGAUAAAAUAACAAGAGAGUGACAAUAUAGCUAACCUAUCACCAAGAUGGAGAUUUCUUGAGCUUUUAGAGUCACAAGGUUGCAAAACAGGGGAGUCUUACAUUCUGGGAUCUUAAAGCUUGUGAACUCGUUGAUAUCAAGUUGGGCUUGUGGGGGAAUUAUUUGAAGUUGGGGAGGAGAGAUAUGGAUGAAGAUGAUGGAGAGAAUUGUUUCAUACAAAUAGAAUGGUUUGAGUGGGGUGGCAUUAAUGCCAAACUUUGACGAAAGUACCUUGGAAUGGUAUUUGAUGUUGGAUACAUUUCAUCUACAAAGUUAAUCUACAGCUGUGACUCAUAUGGCUCUACAAAU